CAGUAGCCGCGGGAAUACAGAGGGUGCGAGCGUUAAUCGGAUUUACUGGGCGUAAAGCGUGCGUAUGCGGCUUUUUAAGUCGGAUGUGAAAUCCCUGAGCUUAACUUAGGAAUUGCAUUCGAUACUGGGAAGCUAGAGUAUGGGAGAGGAUGGUAGAAUUCCAGGUGUAGCGGUGAAAUGCGUAGAGAUCUGGAGGAAUACCGAUGGCGAAGGCAGCCAUCUGGCCUAAUACUGACGCUGAGGUACGAAAGCAUGGGGAGCAAACAGGAUUAGAUACCCGGGUAGUCCCUGUCUCUUAUAA
Molecule: ribosomal RNA, 301 nt
Filed under: uncultured bacterium
Lineage: Bacteria
Description: partial 16S ribosomal RNA
Rfam family: Bacterial small subunit ribosomal RNA
Source: RNAcentral